CGCAAAAACGGCACCAAGCCCAUCCGGAUUGGAAAACCGGUUCUCCUUCUACACGGAUUAAUUGUACAUCAUGCCGCCGUAAUCAUGGAUUCAUGACACUGGUAACGCUGUAAUGAUCGAUUCAUUGCGUUGGUAAUUUGGAACCAUUAAUCCGAGCGUUACUGUCAGUUCUCCCUUCUCUUUCAAGUAUAAAUAUGUGGACACAUCCAACGAUCUUUCCUCACUACACCCGUCUCACAUUCGACGUCCCAUUACUCAUCCGAGAUGCUGCUUUCUUAGGGAUUGUCAUCAUCCUAUUUUCCAGAUUAUUAUUCCCGGACUCAUCUCACCAGUGUGACCUUUAUUUAUUAUUAUUUCACAAUGGCUGCUGGACAGGUACAUUUGCUGACAUAUUCUUUUGAGAUUAUUUGUUCCUUACUUCUCCUUUAAACUAGCUUCAUACUGUCUGCUAAUACAUACUUUCGAAAAAUUAAUCAAACAUCUCAACAUCCUUCUAGGUGCACAACCUAGCUUCCGUUCUUAGUGUAUCCGCGCAUAUAUCACAGGAUAUGCCUCUGUAGAAAUAAUGACAAAGCGUUCUCAAGCAAACCCAACUUAGCACGCGCACCUCGACUGCUCGAAGAAUACUGGGAAAAUGUCCAUGUGAUCUGCGACUACUUCAAGGCAUCCUGGAGACCGGUGCUGAUAUACAGACCAUGGUGGGAGGUUGCAUACAGAUUGUACAAUACUUCUAAUGUUAUUCAGUUGAAACCGAUCCACAUUUUUAGUUGGACAAUGUUUGUAUGCAGAACGGCUGUAUU
Lolium rigidum is the source of this 800-nucleotide long non-coding RNA. RefSeq lists it as uncharacterized. The record is from RefSeq and is a predicted model, not a curated record. The transcript has 3 exons. NCBI's taxonomy places the organism in Eukaryota, Viridiplantae, Streptophyta, Magnoliopsida, Poales, Poaceae.